GUUACAGGCUAGAAGCAGCAACACC
This 25-nucleotide non-coding RNA is filed under the name Cricetulus griseus (Chinese hamster). The record is from RNAcentral. Lineage: Eukaryota; Metazoa; Chordata; Mammalia; Rodentia; Cricetidae.